UACGGGGGGUGCAAGCGUUAUUCGGAUUUAUUGGGCGUAAAGAGCGCGUAGGCGGUUUAUCAAGUCAGAUGUGAAAGCCCUGGGCUCAACCUGGGAAGUGCAUUUGAAACUAGUAGACUUGAGUAUGGGAGAGGGGAGUGGAAUUCCUGGUGUAGAGGUGAAAUUCGUAGAUAUCAGGAGGAACACCGGUGGCGAAGGCGACUUCCUGGACCAAUACUGACGCUGAGGCGCGAAGGCGUGGGGAGCAAACAGGAUUAGAUACCCUGGUAGUCCACGCAGUAAACGGUGAUCACUAGGUGUAGCGGGUAUUGACCCCUGCUGUGCCGCAGUUAACGCAUUAAGUGAUCCGCCUGGGGAGUACGAUCGCAAGGUUA
RNAcentral lists this ribosomal RNA (374 nucleotides) under uncultured prokaryote. RNAcentral's name for it is "bacterial SSU rRNA". It matches the Rfam family "Bacterial small subunit ribosomal RNA", at positions 524 to 896 of the family's 1533-position model. The record is from RNAcentral.